Molecule: long non-coding RNA, 3754 nt
Filed under: Anas platyrhynchos (mallard)
Lineage: Eukaryota; Metazoa; Chordata; Aves; Anseriformes; Anatidae
Description: lncRNA (ENSAPLG00020017362.1)
Source: RNAcentral
CAGCACUCCUGUAGUUCCCCUGCUAAAGCCAGGAAAUUGUUUUGGAGAAGCUCCCCUGCAAGACUUCUCCUGCAUGAAGGAUGCAAGUGUAAAGCCUUUGAUUUCCUGUGUGUAAGAAUGUGUGCUGCUGCUUUAAGUAAUCAGCAGCUGCUGCUUAAAUCCAUUAGCAGGUGGAAUACCAAUUUGCUUACACUGAGAUAUUAGUCUCAUGAGGAGAGAGUCGUUGCUCAUACUAGAAUCCAUCUCACGUUGCUGUCCUUCACCUUUCUCCUUUCACAGAUUAAAUAUCCUCAUGUCUCCAGAAGAUGUAUUAAAUUCCUGCUUUUUGCUGUUAGAGGUGGAUCAAAUGUCUUGCUUGUAGACGUGAAGCCUGGCUACCCCUCAGUUCUUGUCCUUGUCCUUACUAAGCUCUAUGGGAACACAUAAUCCUGCUGAUGAAACUGGAAAUGCUUCUAUUUGCAGCAGAAUACAGAUGUUGAGGGCAGUUCCUAUUUUGCUUGGCAAGGAGGAAGUCCUGCAUGCAGUGAAGAAGGAAGAGUUACAACUAAGUUGUAGCUGCAUUCAUUCACCUCACCCUUUGUUGCUUCUCUCCCUACAGUUAGCUCACGUAAGUCAAUCAACAGGCAGAGUCCAUCCUGGACCCCACCUGAAACUCACUUUAUGAAUUAUUACUGUAGGAGUGGCUGAUUUAUUGAUGGGAGCUACGUCUUGCCUCCCUAAAUUAACUACUCUUUUAUAGCCUCCUGGUCUUUAGGGUCACAUGAGAGAAAAUCAAUUUUCAGAAUUAUGGGCCCACUAUAUUUACAAGGAAAUUAUGCUAAUGCCCAAAGAAGUGCUGAGUAUCACACGGCGUGCGGUAUCACGUAGGGACUGGCCUUCCUGGGAGUAUAUCUGAUACCGGUGUGUAACCCGUUCAUCACGGGAAGGCUCACAGAGGUGGCUGCACGCUGCCUGUGCACAUGCAUUGCCGUUGUGUUUCUAGGAGCAAAGUAAACCUGUUGGGGGCAGAAGGCUGAAGAAAGUAAGUCUAUGGUAGAUCCCUGCCUGGGAGAUGGUUGCCUCAAAAUAGCCUACGACCUGUGCAGAGCUCCUAGCUGGAGGGUCCAUGUUAGUGCUACUCGAAUGUUCUACCUGUUCUGUGUCUCAGCCGAGGUAGAAGGAAAUGUUCUUCUCUUUGGGAGAUGUAGAAAGGAAGAGGUUGAACAAGAUGCCAUAUACAAGAGCAUGGCAUGGGUAACACAAGGGCAGGAGCUGAAAAAACAUUAAGACACUUCUGUGAGCCCUCAGCAAGAUGGGGGAGAGCUAUUUCUGACUAUUCACCACCUGGGGGGCAGCAUCCAGAGGAGCAGCUUCCACCAGAAGAAGCUGGUUUUGUCUCCAUGGAAAAGUCUGUGUGGAAGCUGCCUGGCUGGGCAUUUGGGUGAGCUUCCCCUGACCUGCGACACAGUGUUUGGGGAAGAGGGAAAGUGAAAUUUGCUGACUGCUUGGAGGCCAAGCCUUCCCUGCCAGGGCCACAGGUGCUGCUCCCCUGCUCUGGCAGGUAGCCUGACUGACACCCUGUGCACAUUCAGCAGCUGACUUCUGUGCAGAACAUCAUUUUGCAGAGCCAGCAUUGUCUCUGGAAGGAGGAAUUGUCCUUACAGGGGAUGCUAGUGAGGAAUGUCUAGCAAAAAGCUGCUUUGUAAAGGCCUUAAAAAGGUGCUGGGUGUACUUUCAUUCUCAUCAGCCAGGGAUUAUUAACUUCAGAAAUUAGCUUCUGGCUCCAACUUAGCUGAAAUAUGCGGGGACAGGCAUCCCCUUUGGCCACAUAGGACUGAGCUCAUAGACUUGUUACUAAGGAUAUAUGCGUCUUUUUCCCUUCACUUCAGUGGUGGCUAAACGGUCUGUUUCACUGUUCAAAGCUUUGCUCCCCAGUAAUAUCUCUGUGCACUAGUUCCUUUAGCACUUUCAAAGGCCUCUUUUCAGGAUUUCCCUGGUGGGAAGGCAGUGAAAGGAGUGACUUUCUUUUCCUUGGUAGUACCAGAAACCACUGCAACAUUUUAUGUUGUUGGAUUCUUUUCAUGAUGAGUAAUCACUGAAGAACCUAGACCUGAUCAAAACUCUUAUGCUUGGGUUUAAGUGGAAGACUGCCUUUCAGAUUUUUCUCCAUCGUUGGGAAACUCAGUGGUAGCUCCCUGCUAUGCCAAGAUCUCAUUCAGAGAUUUCACUCAGAGCGUGGUGGGGCCCUGGCACAGGUUGCUCAGAGAGGUUGUGGAUGCCCCAUUCUUGGAGGUGUUCAGGCCCAGGCUGGAGAGGCCCUGAGCAACCUGAUCUGGUGACUGGCAUCCCUGCCUAUGGCAGGGAGUUGGAACUGGAUGAUCUUUAAGGUCCCUUCCAACCCAAACCAUUUUGUGAUCUGUGCUUACAGGGCUGCACUCAGAAUGGCAUUGCCACAGCAACCAGCAAAGCUAAAAAAGUUGAUAAAGUACAUAGCAUCUUUGGGGUUUAAUUGAAGGGCAGAGGUAUUGCUAUUCCCUCAAUAAUGUGGAUGUUGUGUUUUUUGGGUGUUUCUUUUUUUGGGGGGGUUGUUUUGGUUUUUUCUUGAAAGAAGUAAGUUCCCUGCAGGCAGAUUCCAGACUGUGGCUUUGGCAAAAUAUGGAGCUGAAAAAGGAAAGUCCAUCUGCCCCAACUGCUGACUUGACAACUGUGCUGUUGGAAUAAGUGGUGUUCCUAAAAAGGAAAGAGAGAGAGACCUAGGAGGCAGUGUACGUGGUCCCCCUUGCAGUUCCCUAUUGCGUGCACAGUACUGCUCUGUUCAGUCACGGCUGACAUGUUUUUACGAGACUUCUGCUAAUGCGUUGGUGGUCUGACAGCUGCUAGGAAAUUUUCCUGAAGGGCUAGACUUUUUUUUUUCUUUUUUUCCUCCAUGAUGACUGUACCCUAGAGGGUUAGCGUAAUAUCACAAACAUCAAUGCUCCCACCUGUAUGCAAAGCAUUUCCUGCUCUGGUUAGGGACAGAAGCCCAGUGUUAGAGGAGCUCCUGUGUUGGCUGCUAAAAUGUAUCAGCACUAGAGGAGUCUGUGGAGAGCAAGCAUCAGUUAUCCCAGAGAUCAGAAAUCCUGAGUGAAAAAGAGCCAUUUACAGUUACAGUGCUGACAGUGGCUUUUCAAGUGUCAUUAGAAACUACUAAAAUUAUCUCAUUAGCCAGUAAUUGCUGGGACCCUGCAUGUAAAUUACAGUCAUCUGAGGAGAGGCUGGUGGCAGACUCAGAUCUGCCUUACGUAGAUGUUUGUGUCGUGUCACCCAGCUUCGGGAGCUGGCAUUGCUGCUGCUCCAGGUCAGGCACGAGCCGGGUGGCAGCCAGCUGCCCCCAUCCCACAGCCACGCUCCUCAGCCACCUCCUAGCGCAGGAAGAAGCUGCAGGCAGUCACAAAGAUGCUGCGAGGAGAAAGGAGCAACCUUUCUCUUUUUUUCCCUAAAAGAGAAAUGAGCUGACAGCAACAUCUGGAGACCCUCCCACUGCCUGCACCAGCAGCUCUGAGCCGGCCUCCCACGCCAAGAGGUAGCAGCUCUUGUAGUACAGCUCUAGGAGCGUGUCUUGGCUGCAGCCCGCCUCAACUUGUGCCUGACCAGUGCUAAAGCCCAGUGACUGGAAACCUCCUGGCAUGGGACUCGAUGUACAAGAGAACAAGCCGAGCAGCCCCAGCUGCCAGCCUGCACCCCGGCAUCUGCAGCCAGCUCACAGAGGGCUCUGUGCAAGGCUUGGCUUGUGGGU